GACAUUAAUAAUCAAUAAUUUUGGCUUGUCCAUCAUUAUCUAUUUACUGUGAACUGUAUUAUUACUUGACGCUUGAGGGAUGUUCCAAUGCUAUAAGGAUAGGCACUGGAAAUGUUAACCGAGUCAUAAUCAAGCUUAGGCUUGGUAUCCUAUUAUUAUUUACCAAAAGAAUUCAGAAUUAAUAUUGUAACAUAGACGUAAAAAAUCUAUAAAACAACUUUUAACAACGGAUCUCUUGGUUCUCGCAUCGAUGAAGAACGUAGCAAAGUGCGAUAACUAGUGUGAAUUGCAUAUUCAGUGAAUCAUCGAGUCUUUGAACGCAACUUGCGCUCAUUGGUAUUCCAAUGAGCACGCCUGUUUCAGUAUCAAAACAAACCCUCUAUCCAACUUUUGUUGAAUAGGAUGACUGAGAGUCUCUUGAUCUAUUCUGAUCUUGAACCUCUUGAAAUGUACAAAGGCCUGAUCUUGUUUGAAUGCCUGAACUUUUUUUUAAUAUAAAGAGAAGCUCUUGCGAUAAAACUGUGCUGGGGCCUCCCAAAUAACACAUCUUUAAAUUUGAUCUGAAAUCAGGUGGGAUUACCCGCUGAACUUAAGCAUAUCA
RNAcentral lists this small RNA (601 nucleotides) under Circinomucor sp. 1 ERP-2018. Its description in RNAcentral is "partial 28S ribosomal RNA". The stretch from base 216 to 368 matches the Rfam family "5.8S ribosomal RNA". Lineage: Eukaryota; Fungi; Mucoromycota; Mucoromycetes; Mucorales; Mucoraceae. The record is from RNAcentral.